Molecule: long non-coding RNA, 934 nt
Organism: Symphalangus syndactylus (siamang)
Lineage: Eukaryota; Metazoa; Chordata; Mammalia; Primates; Hylobatidae
Source: RefSeq, a predicted model, not a curated record
AAAAAUGGGAAAACAAAAAGUGGUCAGGAUAGAUUCCAGAGUAGUUGGAGUUAUAGGGAAAUCUUCACUGCCAGUGUUCUCUAGAUCCUCAGCACUACGCCCUGGCCAGCCCCUAGGUCAUGGAGCCCCCUCUCCUGCCCUGGGCUGGCCACCUCUCUCACUGGAUGAAUGAUGUGCUCUGGCUCAAAGGCUGAGGGGGCAGGUGGAGGAUGCCUGCCGCGGAACGUGGGUGCUCCCUCCAUCAGAAUCUACUCACUGGGAGAGGAUCUGCGGCCGUCACCUCCAGCCCCGGUCCUGGUAGGGCUGUUGGAGAAAAUGGUCUUCGCUGAAACAUGGGCACUCAUGGGAAGUGCUUUCUGCUCCCCAGGCUCAGAGACUGAGGUCUCCCUAUGGUGUUGCCCAGGCUGGUCUUGAACUCCUAGCCUCAAGUGAUCCUCCUGCUUCAGCCUGCCAAAGUGCUGGAUUACAGGUGUAAGCCACCUCCGGACAUCUUAUCUGUGAAAUUUUAGGCACUGAUCAGUGCAGAAAGAGCCAUGAACUGCAGGAUGUUCUCAGAGACUCUGACAUUAUGGCCCACAAGAAGCUGCCCACUCAGCUUCUAGUCAGUUAGGCGUGGACUUCGUCAAUCACAAAAUGAAGACUCAGAGAGCCUCCCAGGAGGACACAAAGUCAGCCUCAGAGAGGCAUGGAGGUGUUAAAGAGGGAAGUGCCUGCUAGAAUUUCAGUGGGUUAGGUAUGCUCUUUAACGAUGCACAAAUUCAUAGGUAUACAUUUUCUGACAAUUGGACUCUAUUAUUACUCUCGAACCAGCUGUUCUCCAGGCUGUUUCCUAUAAUGGAAGGGAUACUUUGAGUUUAUAUCCUUUCAAUCCUACAUCCUCAGAAAUCUACGCUGAUACUAAUAAAGGGACUCAUUUCUCCUACAAGAACCCCUA